UUCGCAGUAUAUUCUUGUGAAUUUGCUACUUUUAACGGUCAAAUCACAGGAGUAUACUGUGAG
This 63-nucleotide microRNA precursor is filed under the name Anopheles epiroticus. RNAcentral describes it as "microRNA mir-308". It matches the Rfam family "mir-308 microRNA precursor family". Lineage: Eukaryota; Metazoa; Arthropoda; Insecta; Diptera; Culicidae. The record is from RNAcentral.